Molecule: long non-coding RNA, 645 nt
Organism: Branchiostoma floridae (Florida lancelet)
Lineage: Eukaryota; Metazoa; Chordata; Leptocardii; Amphioxiformes; Branchiostomatidae
Exons: 2
Source: RefSeq, a predicted model, not a curated record
UACGCAUUAAACGUGAUAACAGAGGAAAGAAGCAGAAGACGUCAGCUGUGCCGGUCAAGCGAGCGACGGCGGUUUCGGUCCCCAGACCGACGUCAGGGCCAGGUUCCGGGAAGAACACAGACGAAGCUUAUGAGAAGUUUAUGAGAGAGAUGGAAGGCAUCUUGUAGAGCAUCUUCAGUACUUCAGAAGUCACUAGUCUUUUUGAUGUGGAGAACUCUCCAGGGAGUCUACUGUCGCACCAGUUCCGAGAAGAAAGCGUCUACAGGGACUGUACGCGGGAAAGCGCAUACACGGAUGUAUCCUAAGUCGUCUUGCGUCUGUCUCGUUUCAUUUCACUUUAACAGCGUUGGACUACGUUUUCAUUGGUCAAAAUUUACACUGUAUAUUCGACAAAUCUACCAUGUUAAAAGUCAUUUGUCUUUUUCCCGAUGUAGUAGAAAUACAAUUAAUACUCGUUGAAUGUUGAAUAUCAAUCAAGACUUCAAUUAUGUGUAAAAAGGAUACCUUGUAUACUUCAUUCGUAUGAAGAGUGCAUUCGCGUAAAAGAAACUUUUUAAAGCAUCGGGUGACAACCAGGGAAAAGUAUGGGGUUUUGUUGUAUAGUAGGGUUUUUUUGAUUGUCAAUAAAUAUUUCUUGAAAAAUCA